This 61-nucleotide transfer RNA is filed under the name Pyralis farinalis. Its description in RNAcentral is "tRNA-Ser". Lineage: Eukaryota; Metazoa; Arthropoda; Insecta; Lepidoptera; Pyralidae. The record is from RNAcentral.
GAAAUAUAAUAUAAUUAAGCUUCUAACUUAAUUAAUAGUGAUUAAUCUCAUUAAUAUUUCU